Columba livia (rock pigeon) is the source of this 3995-nucleotide long non-coding RNA. RefSeq lists it as uncharacterized. The record is from RefSeq and is a predicted model, not a curated record. NCBI's taxonomy places the organism in Eukaryota, Metazoa, Chordata, Aves, Columbiformes, Columbidae. The transcript has 2 exons.
AGCAGCCUGCCCGCUCCUCGUUGGUCGGCGCAGCAUGUGUUUGUCCACCUUUAAUCAGCGUGCAGGCAGGAGAAGGGCUGCCCACCCCUGUCCGUGGGUUGGUGCUGCCCCUUGGGGAGCGGUUUGCUCCCUCUCCUGUCAGUAGGGCUGUGCGGAACAGUCCAACCAGCCCUGCAUCCCAGCCCUGCAUCUGAUUGUUUGGGAAGUCUGCGAGGCUGCCGGCUGUAAGGAUAAAGUUCUCUAAAAGGCGUCGUUGCAUGAAGACUGAGAGUGCACCCAAGAACCACAGUUACAACCAGUCAUUGGUUGUUUUCCUGUUCGAGUGCCAUAAAACAUUCACGAGGAAUGGAGGAAGAUAAAGGGCAGAGUGCUAAAGCCACCAGCGCGGUGGGUGACUUGAGGAAGAGUUGGCAGACCUGGGCAGAGGAUCACAUUGAAUAUCAGAGAAAGAACCCGUUCAGCAGUGAUGACAGGAUCGCAUCUAAACCGGUGCAUACUCACAGAGGAGAUCCUACCUACGGGAGACCCCCUGAAGGGUCUCAGACAGAGCAGAGAGGGAAAGAUGCUCACUCACACGUGGGUAAGGAAGUAGAAGAGCUGUGCUUGAUCAUUAGAAGCACUGGAGAGGUGGGAGAAGAUGGACACGUGAGUGUGACCUUCGGGCAGCUGUUUGAAACAUACGUGACUAUUUCCAAUAAAGUAGUGGGAAUCUUGUUAAGGGCCAGAAAACACGGUCUGGUUCAUUUUGAAGGUGAAAUGCUUUGGCAAGGAAAAGAUGAUGAUGUGAUCAUCACUUUACUACAAUAAAGCUUUGUCAUCUAAUGAAUUCUGCUGCCUGGUUCCAUGUGGAUGAGCAUAUCUGAAUACCAUCUUGAAAGAGGUUUUCAUUACAGAAUUUCAACUUGGCUGCUUACUGGGACAGGAGAGAAAAUGGGUGAGAAGGUAAAAAUGGUAGAGAUUUGGACAGAAAUUACAAAUAAGGAACUAAUCCAUCAUGCCGCUAUUGGAUUGUCCAUUCAUUAUUAUCAUACACUACAAAGUAUACUGCAAUUCUUCAGAUAACUCCACUGGCUUACUGCUUUAGGUUACGGAAAGUGUAAAUUACUAACUUGCUGCCAUACAACACUGAUUCUUGCAGGCUGUGAAAUAUUUGCUGUCGUGUGGGAUUUUAUUUGUAAAACAUGGAAUGGAAAACUGUUACGGGAAUUCUUAUACUUAAAAAAAAGAAGAGACUGGUAUAUAACAGAAGUUUGGGUUAUUUUCACGUGUUGAAACUGAAUGGAAGUUACUUUCAUGAAGUAUAUGAAAAUCCCCAAAUUUAAAGAAAUAGUACAGCAAGGAUAUGUGAUGGUUUCUAAAUUAUUUGUAUCUUAUAUGUAUUUUGGAGAGCUGCAUUAGUCCUGGUAUUUAAUAGUCUGUUCUUGUCGUAAUAUCUUCUCCAAACUUUCUGUGUCUGUUGCUCGUUUUCCUCUGUAGCUCAUCAUUUUUACAUGUUCUAUUCUUCUAAUGCUGUGUCAACCCUUAGACGAUCACAAAGCUCUGCAGUCUUCUUGGUGAAUUCAGCUAAUAUCCCGUCAUGGAAAGCAGGGUGCCACAACAUAAACUUGUAAAAGACAACUGAAACUGUAUGUUGGGGCACUAUGCAUUCACAAAAACAACAAAAAAAAGGCUCUUUCACCAAAAGGUAGCAAUUUUGUUUAUAAUAGGAGAGUAGAGAUCCUGUAGUGCCAAAUAUAUAAAUAAAAGUGUAGCAGUGCAGUCCUCACUUAGCUGAGGCAGAGCUUUACUUUCAGGGCACAGUUGUGAGUUCUCCACACUGGGAGGAAAAAAUGAUCAGCUAGUGAGAAUUGUGACUGAGAGAUGACCAAUAACAAUUUCCUUUAUGGUUCUUCCAGGGGAACUUUUUCUAUGUUUAAAAAGAAAAUUAAAAUUGUUGUAAUAAAGCUAUUAAAAAUAAUCAGGAGCUGUAUUCAUGAUAGUUCCUACUAAGAAAACUGUAUAACUAGAAAUAUAUAUAUAUAUUUUUAUCAGUGCAAAUAAAAGCUAUUUUGUGGUGUUAACUACACUACUUGGUGGGUCUUUAACGUAAGAUAAACACUUGCCUCAAAAGGGUAUUGAAAUCUAAAAUAAAUUAUGAACUUGAUAAAAGUAAUAGAUUAUUGUAUGGUUUUUAUAUAAAAGAAGGGUUUGUGGGUUUUUUUUGCAAAAAGCCUAAAAUAAUGGGUUUCUGUUUUGACGUUGUCAUCUGAUGGGGAUUUGCAUCAAAAUAAGCCUUUUGACUCAGCAAAAUAAAAUAUGGAUUUAAUUAUCCCUCUGCCUCUUUUUCAUAGUGAAAAGACAAUAGAAGUAGGAAAAAAGGAGGAAAUGAAUGUGCUGAAAUAAGUACAUCUGCAGGACAGGGGUGCCAGAUCCGUACAGCAUGGAAAGGAAAACAAAGGGUAGGUUUUAAUCACCACAUAAUUUUGCCAGGUAGGAAACUGAGGAAUAUGUGUUGCACCAGGUACUGCUGGUGAGUGUUCCCUUAGCUCUCAAAACCACUCCUUUGUCCUAAACAAAUCUGUGUCUUGCAGCUGAAAACAAGACGUGUGAUUUGUGGUCCCAACACAUUUAAAAUGCUUUGGUUUUUUGAAAAGCAUUUCUUUCCAAAAUGACAUGAGCACACCUCCGUGGAUUUCAGCUACCAUUCGUUAAAUAAAACCUGGACAUUCAAAACAAAUCAGGCUUUUUAUAAUAGAGCUGCAGAAUGUGGUUUGUUUAAUUCUGACGCUUUGCAAACUCAGUCAGGGCUGCUGUAGCACCUGCAGGAAGCAGUGUCAGGUGGUUCAGGUGUUGCCAGCUGACUAACAGGAUGGUAAUAUCUAAAGAAAUAAUAACAUUACUACGCAUUGUACAACUAAUACAUUAAAAUGCACACAGUUGAGAUGCAAGUCCAGCUCAUGCAGACUUAUUAGUUCUUAAUUAAGUCUGGCUCAAGUAGUUAAAUGUCAAGAAUCCAGGCUUGCGCUGCGGUGGAAGGAGUGAGUGUUGGAUGUUUACGUGGCCUCUGCUCACUCUCUCCUGCUGCUGGUUGGGUUCAACAUCACUUGAGCACAUGUACAUGAGCUUUAAGCACAUUUCUAAUCAAAACAGAUAGAAGCAAGUUAAGCUUUAAUGAAAUGGUCUUACCAGUUUUGCAAGCAACUAUAAAAAGCUUGCUCUAUCAUAUUUUGAUUAAAACCAGGGAUUAUUAUCAAAAAUAUUAUUUCUAGACUUAUGGAUGUUUUUUAAAAAAUUAUAGGGCCAAAUUUCCUACCUGCCAGCUUUAGAUGAACAUUCUCUAAAGAGUGACUGAAAUCUCUCUGUGCCCAUGCAAUGGUUACAAAGACCAGAAGGUGCCAAACUGGGUCAGCAUGCAGGUUGACAAAGCCAAUCUCCUGCUCCUGGCAAAAGCCAAUAUUUCUAUGUCUAAAAGAUAGAUAGAUAAUGCGAUUGGUCAGUUUGUCCACUGGUACACUCCAGGAUAAAAAAAAAAUACUUCUGAAGCCUGACUAUAGUCAGGAGUGCAUCAUAUCUAACUGGCAUGACUCAAUUUAGCUACUAGUUCACAAGUUUUCCAAACUUCUGCUUCCUCAUCUGCAGAUGAAACAGGAAUUUAAACAUUUCACCAGGCAACUUUUUUGCAACAGAGCGCCUUUAGAGCAAAUUGAACAAAAUAAAUUAUUUUCACAAAAAAUUGUAGCAUAUGAAGUUUUCUAGCAUUACAGAUAAUUUAGAGUAUCUGACCAUCUAAAAGGCGUGCUUGUCCUACUAAUUAACUUUCAGCUCUUCAAAUCUCUCCUAAACCUCACUUCUUUGUGGCAAGUUCCCUCAGUGGUCUUUCCUCUUCUUCCACUUGAAGCCUGUGAAUUCUCCAUCUGUUUUGGGCCGUACAUUGUAUAAGGAUUGUUUGUAUUUUAUCUUGUCCAACACUGAAAGCACUUCCAGUACUUCAAUAAAUAUUGCACAUCAGUUUGAAA